Molecule: non-coding RNA, 41433 nt
Organism: Podarcis lilfordi (Lilford's wall lizard)
Lineage: Eukaryota; Metazoa; Chordata; Lepidosauria; Squamata; Lacertidae
Source: the annotation of a GenBank genome assembly
CUAUACUGCUUUUACGUAUAGUGCAGAUGAGAGACUCAAUGGUGCAAUGUCAGUGUAUCUGCAGGAAGUACCACCAGUGUUUCCCAAUCAUUUAAAAACCUUAUUUGGCAUGGUUAUUGCUUCUUUUCUUCAAGGACUAUGGGCCAACAUAGGUAACCAACAUGGUGCACUCCAGAUUUUGUGGACUACAACCUCCCAGGAGCUCCAGCCAGCACAGGCAGCGGCCAGGAAUUGUGGAGGAUGUAGUCCAAAACAUUUCGAGGACUCCAUGUUGUCCAUGACCAACCUAAAAGGUUUAGCACAUCUGUCAUGAUUGGGCUGGAAGUCAUUGUAACAGCAAUAGUAGCAGCAGCAGCAGAAACAAAAGUCUAAUAUGUGCCACAUCUCCUAGGAAAUUUUUGCUACUGUUAAUACUUGUUCAGUGAGCCAUCUCCCCAAAUGACAAGGUUGGAGUUUUUCUAAGGGAAAAAAAGGAUCUCUAAUGCAAGCUGCUUUGGAGGCUACCAACAUUAUCCAUUCUCCAGCAGCUGUUGCUGAAACCACAGGGUUGCUGGCUCCUAAUUAGAUCCAGCUGCCCCUACUGCGAGCUCACUCAUUGAUGGGAGCAGGAAGACCAAGUGCCUGACAGUGGGUCUCUUUCCUGGCUUUUCGACAGACAGCGUAAUUAACUUUCCUGCCCCUCUUAGAAGAACUAUAAGGCAGAGCCGCAAAGGUGUUUGAGUGACUUAGAAAACAUUACUUAUGCAUAGGAAUCACAAUGAUUAAUCACAAAGCCUCGGGAAACUGAUUGGUAAGUUUGUAGUGGGGGGGAGGAGGAGGAGAAAGGGUGCAGAUUCUGGUUAAUUCCUCCUGCCUUGUGCACACAAGUGAUAAACCCAGUUAUAAGAAUGGCUGUUGCUACUAAGUGCUUGGUUCUGCGUACAGGUGGAAUGACUAGGGAUGGGACUUCUGUGUGAAUUUCUGUUUUAGGGAAGUGUACAUACAGGCAGACCCCUUUGCUGCAGCUCUGGAUGGGGAUCCUUUGGCCCCUUAGAAGGUGAUGGGCUACAGAGACUAUCAUCCAUGACCAUGGCCUUGGUGGCUUCCAAUAAGGGAGCCAAGUAUCACAUUCCUACUGAAGUUCCACUUCACUCUUCUCUACUAUCUUCCACCUAAGAGCAAGUGUUAAGUCUUCCUGAUUUCUGCAGUUGCUACAAGAGAGAACAAGAAAACUCCCACCAGGCCCAUCCAGCAUGGCCAAUGGCCAGGAAUUCUUAGAGUUGUAGUCCAAAACAUCUGGGAGACAUUGUGUUGGCUACUCCUCCUGUGCUACCAGAUAUUUUCCUAGUUCCCCUUCAAAUGAGAUGCAACCAGAGGAGGAACAGGAAGCUUAAGUGUCUCUGUCUUUCUCCAGCUCAUACAACAGCAGAAUUCCCAUACCCUCCAUGACUGUAGGUGGAAGCACAAACAUCUCCCCAUGCUUCUCUGUCACAUCCACAGAUGCUCCAAACUAGAGCUUCUCAGAACAAGGGAAAGGAUGAACACAAGCAUUAUUAGCUUGUUAGAUAAACAAGAGGAGGGAUUCGUGGGAGGAGGAGAUGAAAUGGAGGUGAGAAAUGAAUGAGUCUGUGGAUACCCUCCAUGGUGUCCAAACUAGCCAUGGUGAGAUGGGCGAAGUGCAGGCUGUAGGACACUGGUAGGGAACCAUAACCCCCAGCCAGGAUAUUCAAUGGUUAGGGAUAAUAGGCAUUGAAGUAUAUCAACACUAGGAGGGCCACAGUUUACUUUGUAUACCUCUGGCAAUGUUAUUUCAAUGUGAUCUUACAUCAUCAAUAUGCCUUUGCCGAUUCUGAUAUUGAUACCUGACCAUUGGCCAUGUGGCCAGGGGAUGAUGGCAGCUGGAAGCCCACAACAAUUAGUUUCCCACCUCUGUAAUAGAGUUACUGCAGAGGACAUGCACAGGUCUUCCUCUACACCCAACCCCCCAAUCCUAAUGCUGGCCACAAAAAGACCUAUUGUAACAACAAAAUUCAUCUUAUUUUUCUGCUCUUCUUUUGGUACAUUUACCAACUCAUUGUGAGCACCAGCAGCUGAGGAAGAACACAUUUAUUCCUGCGUAGCCCCCACUUCUCUCCCAGUCAGAAAAGUAAACAGCCUCUUUCACUGCAGGUAUUAAGGAUGCAUUUGUUCUCAAGCUGGUUAUUCUUGAGUGCAUUUGCUGUUGUCACAUCCAUUCGGCGCUUUGCUGUUUUCAUGCCUAUCUAUCUGUCGCUCACUGCUAAUAGCUCUAAAGUUCAGGUACUCAAGGGCAGUUUGUCAAGAUGUGUGGAUUAAUAUCUUGUCACAUCUGGGCAGGAACGAGGCAAUGAUUUUUCAAUCUGCACUUUACAGUUCUCAUUGGAAAAUGUCGAGAGUUUUCUUUCUUUCUCCUUCUCUUUUAGCGGAUGUGAGGGAGCACUUAAAAUCCACAGAGGGUAUAUACUGCAUGUGUGGAAGAGGACAGCUCCCUUGAUUGUCCUUCUGCUGCAAAUUUUACAUCAGGCCAUAAGAACAUACAUAUUAUGCCCAUAAUUCCUAAACGCACACAUACACAAGGCAUUCAUAGCAACCCUGAACAAUUUCAUUUGUGUGCAUUUAAUAAAGCUGGAGUCAAAAUGUUCAGCUAAUGCAGCUGCUACUAACAGCAGUUCAUACAUCCUAUUGUUUCAUCAUGUAUUUGCAGGCCAGGGUUGCAAAAUCAGACCCUCAAGUUGUGAAAUGGGCAGUAGGUAGACUUGAACCUGAAUACAAAUCCUUUUCAGCCAGGAUGAUUACAGGGGCUGGGGAAGUGGUAUUUUUAAGGAUAACAUAUAUCCCCUAGUUCCUACCAAGGUCAAAUAGAAUAACAGCAAGAGUAGGAUAGAGGAGGAAGAGAGAGAUUAAAGCUGCAGUCCCUCUCUGGGGGAGGGCCAUAGCUCACUGCCUGAACAUCUGUUUUGCGUGUGGUAUGCCCCAGGUUCAAGCUCCAGUAUCCCAAGGUAGGGAUGUGAUGGAUCUCUACCUAAAACCCUGAAGAGCUACCUAAAACCCUGAAGAAAACCCUGCCGGUCAAUGUAUAGAAUAUUGAUCUAUAUUGAUCAUGCAGCUCCUUAUAUUUCUAAAAUGCAGUGGGACUUGUAACCAAGUGAACUAAAAUAUGAUCAGACGGAACGUGGUACUUUUCCAGAGAACCCGCCCGGUUUGAAAACAGCAAAGAAGCAACACUAGAAUAUGUAGCAACCACAUCUCCAAAUAUCCACAUUCUCUCUUCUAACCCAAUUGCUGUGGAGCAAAGAAGAAGGAAUCGCAGAGGCUUCAAAAUAUACACCUGGCAGGCCUACAGCUAGCAAUACUCUAGAGCAAAAUAUUGCGCACAGGAAUCUUAACAUCCUAAGUCAGGAAAAAACAAAAAAGCUUGGGAGCCACUUGAGGGAACAUUUCCUGCCUUAACAACCUGCACAACUGUUAUUAGAUCAAUUGGCAGUGCCCUACUUUCCCUACCGUCGCUCUAGAGGUAAAGUAGGUUUUUAAGCAAGAGAAAUGGUGUGUGUUUUUUAGCACUCCAAUAGUGGGAUGCCCUCGCUAGAGAGGUUUGCCUGGUGCCAACACUGCUGUCAUUUGGCAACAGGCAAGAACAUUUUCAUUUGAUCCAGCAUUUAAAAUAAGGGUGAACUAACAUUCAGGUCACCCUUCUUCCCUCCCCCCCAUGCAAUGGGAAACUCAACUACAGACAUUGUCAUGGCACCUUUGCUGGAGGACCAAGGUCCAGGAAUGUUGAGGUCCCACACAGCUCUUUAAAUCUUUCAGUAAUACCUGUAUGCUUAUGUUAUUGUUUCAUCUUGCUGUUUUAACUUUUGUAACCCCACUCAGAAAUUUUCAGAUGUUAUGUUAACAAGCAAGCCCACUUCUGAAAUUGAUCUGAUAAAUCUGCUCCUCUAAAGGUAGGACUGGCAAUCACCACACUUCUUGGAAGAGAGAGUCUUAAGUGCCAUUUAUUUAGCUGCGACUUGGUUUCCAUCACAUUGCUGUUCUACGAAGUAGGAAAAAAAGUGGUAGCAGAAUAGUUGGCGAUUUUUGUUCAGAACAGCAAGACUUUUGUGGGGUUUUGAUACUGUUUGCAUCUACUGCAUUGUCUGCUGAACCAAGUGCCGGUAACUGGAGAGGUUUGCAUCAUCAUCAUCAUUUUUUAUUUGUAUGCCGCCAUUCCAUAGUUAAAAAACGAUGCUCAAGGCAGCUUAUAGCAUAAGAAGAUUUACAUAAUUAUAGAAGUCAUAAACAAUAAAUAAACCACAUCCAAAAAAAUGCACAACCAAAUGGAAAACCACAUAAAUCAAAAUCUAAAACUAAGAAUACAGCUUUAAUAUCACAGCUUAAAAUGACAUGGGUAAAAAAUAACAGCAAUUUAAACAAAAACAAAACAAAAUGGAGUCCUCUCUGCCCAGCAGCAGCAGCAGUGGCAGCAGUCCUUUAUAGAGCCCACUCUGCAUUAACAGAAUUAGGCCUACAUUAUGAAUCCUGCAGGUCUUCAAAUGCAGUAUCUUUUUCCAAGAACAGCCUUCCCCAACCUGGUGCCCUCCAGGUGGAAGUUGUGGUCCAAAAUAUCCAGAGGGCAUUUGGUUAAUGAAGGUUGCUUUAGACCAAGAGAACUCAGUGUGUGCAUGUGGGUUAUGUGUAAGAGGACAGUACAUAGGUAAUCUGCUGUGCUAGAGUACAAACAUGGACUCACCAUUUGCUUUGGAUUCCUUCCCAGUCUCAUCAGCCUGCCUUGUUGUACAUGUCUAUCCCAAUAUUUCUUGAUCCAAUCCCUCUUGAAGUUUCUCUGCCUCUAAUUCUGCCUAGUCUUCCCAUCCUGACCUUGACAGCUGGAAACUCACAGCUGCAGUUGUUUGCUUCCAAACCUUUACCUUAAAACAGAAUUUCCACCACCACUAGAAGCUGUGGCUCUUUAACAGACACAGAAAUCCAGUCAACGCAGCUAUUCGCAUUCUUACAUCUACAUGCUGUGAAACAUGGCACCUUUGAAUUUCUGCUUGUCAUGGGGCUGCUAAAAGCAUCAGUGUCUCAUUGAGGAAGAACACAGUACUCUCUCAAGAGAAAAUGAUCUGCCAUUAACUAAGCCAUUUUCUGUUGGAGUGCUCUGCACAAAACAGAAAUGCAACAGGUACAACUUCUUACAGCAAUGGAGAUGCAGUGUUAAUUGGAUUUCUACUGGUCAAUAUAUUUGGUAAGGCCAGGAGGGAAAGUAAGUUGAGGGGCCUGACAAGCAAAGGGCUUAAUCCUUGGUGGUAGAGCUCAGAUGCAAAAAGCAAGGGAGGGAGACAACUCAUUUAAUUCCAAUAAUGAUCUCUCAGUAGUCUAGGCUGAAUGCUGGAAGGGGGGGAUGGUUUCACCAACUUUUGGGGGCCAGUAGGCAUAUUUAUAUGCCUGUUGUCUUUGUCCAUGGAGUUUUCUUGGCAGGGAUACUGGAGUGGCUUGCCGGUUCCUGCUCCAGGUGCAUCACGUUUGGUCAAAACUCUCCACUAUGACCUGUCCAUCUUGGGUGGCCCUGCACGGCAUAGCUCAUAGCUUCUCUGAGUUAUUCAAGCCCCUUCGCCACGGCAAGGCAGUAGUGAUGUAUGGAAGUGAGAGCUGGACCAUAAAGAAGGCUGAUCGCCGAAUAAUUGAUGCUUUUGAAUUAUGGUGCUGGAGGAGACUCUUGAGAGUCCCAUGGACUGCAAGAAGAUCAAACCUAUCCAUUCUGAAGCAAAUCAGCCCUGAGUGCUCACUGGAAGGACAGAUUGUGAAGCUGAGGCUCCAGUACUUUGGCCACCUCAUGAGAAGAGCAGACUCCCUGGAAAAGACCCUGAUGUUGGGAAAGAUUGAGGGCACAAGAAGAAGGGGACGACAGAGGACGAGGUGGUUGGACAGUGUUCUCAAAGCUACAAACAUGAGUCUGACCAAACUGCGGGAGGUAGUGGAAGACAGGAGUGCCUGGCAUGCUCUGGUCCAUGGGGUCACGAAGAGUCGGACACGACUAAACGACUAAACAACAACAACAACAACAGGCAUAUUUGGAAUUUUGAGAAAGUGUCAUGGUGUCAUGAACUGGCAGGAUGACAGUGAGGAGGAAGAGGAAGAGAAUCAUGGCAAGGGAUUGUAGCUGGGAGUGGGACAUAUUGGGGCAAGCUGGGGAUGCGGAAGGAGAGUUUGGUGUAGGAAGUACUCAUGGAGCAAUGGUGAGGGGAUGGGGGUCAAAUGCACAGGGACCAGAGCAGCAGGACCAACUUCAGCAAUGUUUACCUUCUUGCCCUGUUCCUGUCACCACUCUAACCCUUCUUGAACAUGAGAUAUAGUUGUUUUGCUUCCCAGUAAUCACCAGCUUCCUAAGAGGCCUCUUUUGAACAGAAAAGAGGUCAACCCCUUGUGUGAUAAGUGAAACCUAUAUUGAGGUUACUAGGAGGAAAAGAGGGGACAUGAAGACGGUAUGAUCUUUGUUGUGCAAAUGAACAGCAACCGCUUUUACUAGGGUUACAUGAAAAUAUGGCUCCUACUCCGUUUGUCCAUUUAAAAAAAUGUACAGACACCCAUUGCAAGAGAAUUUAGAUGAGCUGAAAUUUUACCAAAAAGGAAAGACAGUGAGGGAUAUUCAAGCCUCCUGCUGUGGAUUUUGAUUAUGAGCCAAUUAUUGCUGCAGUUGCCACGAAUGCUUAUUAGCUGAAUUUCAGGAACAGGCCAUUUAAGAACUCAGACCUUGAGCAGUAGCUUUUGUGCUUUGAUAGAAAACUGAAGCCGCCUAUGCAUAAUGUCAUUCAGAAGUAGGCAGAAUAAUACUAGUGGGGCCCAGACUUGCUCAUAUGAGCAGAGCCACCAUCAUAUCCAAAGUGCCAGCAGCCCCUGCUAAUCAGGGAAGAACUCUAGGGUGGAGGGGUGGGUGGGUUUUUCAGUUUUUCCUAGGUUCACUCCUGCUUGGUACUGCAAGCGGGCAUUCCCCUCUUCAGCAAACAGGCCAGCACAUCCUUGACCAACCCCACUCUGCCCCAUUUUUGGACCUGACCCCUGAUACUGCAAGCAGAAGCCAUGGGGUAAGGAGAAGAGUUUACUGCAACAACAGGCUUAAGCACCUACGCCAGUGAUUUUCAACCAGUGUGCCAUGGCACCCUGGGGUGCCUUGAAUGAUGGUCAGGGGUGCCGCGGGCAACACUGGCCUCUGUCCAGUGUUCUUUCCCUUCCUCCUCUGAUGCCCUCUCAUGUUUCUGCCACCCAAAGGCUUGUGUGGCUGUUUGUUGCAGCAGCCCUGGCUAUAAGCGCCACAGGUGGGGCUGGCCAGGGGGUACUAGUUGCCAGGAGCGGAGGUGGCCUUGGAGUAAGCAAACAGGCGAAGGAGCCCAGCCAGCCAACCAGUCUGUCAGCCCUUACUGUUGGGAAUGGACAGACAAGUCUCAGGCCCCUGUGGGGCAGUGUGAGGAGGCACCUCUCUUUGGGGCAGGGGGAGGCAGCUCAGAGACCAGGGGCGGCAGCUGCAGAGGACUCCCAAAGAGAGGGGAGAGAAAAUGAGGCUGAGGGCACACUCCACAAGGGAGGGUGUUCGAAAAAGAGCAAGAGGCUGCCAGCUCUGCAGGGAAGGGGUGACCUAACUGGGCUCCUGAGCCCCACAGAGGUGCUGCAGAAAGAACGUAGUUAGUCAAGGGAGCCGUGUACUCAAAAAGGUUGAAAACCUCUGACCUAAGCAAAUAAGCAGUGAGUCUUAACAUUUUUAUGUCUCCAGAUGCAUACAGAAUUCUUCACAAAGGCUUGCAUUUUCUAGAGGAGGAGCUAUGAAAGUCUACUGCAAUAAGGAGGAUUUUGUUGCACCUUAAAUGCUUAUGUAGCUUAUGCUUUCUCAAAAAAGAGCUUGCUGGCAUCAGAUACAUGAAGACAAUGAAAUUGGCUCUGGACUACAAGAGCUCACCGCACAAUAAAAUAACAACUUUCAGAUGUUUAGGACGACAAUGUUCGUCAGCCAUUCCUGAUGCUAGCUGGGGUUUAUGGGCAUUGUAGUCCAAAACAGCUGGAGGGCACCCGGUUGGCAAAGGGUGCUACUGGAUUAUAGAAACUUGCAACCCAUCAUGCUUCACCCUUUCUAGGUUGUGAAUGCACAUUGUGGUCACUAGAGAACAUCCCUGUAAGAAUAUAAAGAGUGCCUUGCCGGAUCAGACCAAAGGCCUACCUCGUAAAGCAUUCUGUUUCCAUAGCGACCAGCCAGAGGCUUUUGGGAAGCCCACAAACAGGGCAUCAGCACAACAGCCACAAUAACACUUGUGAUCUGUAACAGCUGGUAUUUAGAAGCAUACUGUCCCUGGCUUGAGGUGACAUAAAGCCAUCAAGACUAGUAGCCAUCUUCAGUAGCUGAGGGCAGUAUUAAUCCUGGGCUCAGUACUGACCCUUGUAGGUGUGAGCCGGUGGGACAAAAAAAAAAUGUAUUGGGCCAGUGAGAUGUAGCAGCUAUGGAAUAGGGAGACCAAGGUUCAAAUUUCUUCUCAGCCAGGAAGUACAGGCAACCCAUUUACGUGGCAGUCAUGUUCCAAGACACCGAGUGUUUAAGUGAAAUUCACAUAUAUUUGAAACACCAUUGAAAAUGCCUGCAAACACUCCUCCCCUCCCCACCCUGUUCUGCCCCUUUUUGUGACUUUUUGGGUUACUUCCUGGUUUGUACAGUGUGUAUGCGCAGUCACACAAAUAUUGAAUGUGCGUUAAGGGGGGAAGGUUGCCUGUACAUUUGGCCAAUCACAGUCUCUCAGUCUAACCUGCCUCAAAUGGUUGCUUUGAGGAUAAAACACGAGGAGCGGGGAGACCAUGUACGCCACCUUGAACUCCUUGAAGGAAAGAUGGGUUAUAAACGUAAUAGUAAAUAAAUAAAACAUUGGCUGAGGGGAAGCAAGCUCUACUUAAUCCUCCUUCCCUCGACUUUACCAUCUCAGCCAAAAUGGAUAAACAGUAAUUUCAAAUCCCAGCCUUGACACAAGACGUCUCAAGAGAAGAGUUCUGACCCUCAAAGAACACAGCUUGCUCAGUGCUGCCUGAUUAAAAACAUGAAUAAUCUUUAUGAGAAUGUCUUCCUUACAUGUUUGAGCUGGGUGGUUAUUUAAAAAUAAAUAAAUAAGACCAAUGCACAUAAAAGUCUAUUUCAAGACAACUGGCAAAUACUUGGGGGGGACGACCCUUUUUUUUAAUGUGAACUUUAUACAGCUCAAUCUAGUAUUUUUAUAUUUUUUAUAUUUUGUUUUGAAAUAUCUUAUUCUAUGCAGAAAAACUGAUGGAAUACAAAGAUGGAAAGGAAUUGCAUUUCUUCUUACUGUUCUGCAAACCUUCGCCUCGAAAUCAAGAUAACCUCGUAUUUUAGACUUACAAAAUAAGCUGUAACAUCUCUAAGGGAGUCAUUAGACUACCUUGCAAACUGCAAGGGAAUCACUCCCUAUUACAGAUUGUUAUGAUAUCCCUGGGCUGUCCUCGGUCAUGUCAGUGAACUGUUAAAAGCUUUCUAUGCCCCUGUUCGAUGUAAUGCAUUAAUAAUGGCUUCACUUAAAAAACCAAAAACAAAACUACUCACCACCUUUUCCCCUCAUUAGCCGGCUUGAAUGCCCAACAAUCAAGGGGGAAACGACUCAGAUUAUAGGAAAUUUUAGAACUAUACAUUCCAACAUACUUUGGAGUAAAGAACCAGGUUUAACCAAUUCCUUCUUUCUAUGUGUCCUCAAAAGUAAGACAAUGUCAGAGACGAAAAGUUUCAAUAGCUACAGAUGUGUAAUCUUCAGUGGAGGACAACAGGGGCCUUGCACCCAUUGUGGAUAUUCCAGGAUCCCAUCCCUGAAAUUUUCUGAUAUAAAAAAGCAAAGGCAGUUGGCUCAUAAGCACAAUUCCAAAAUUUACAAGAUCAGGCCAAUCAAAAUGUCACUUUUUUGGAAUUUAAAAAGAUGCGUGGUUUUUGCCAUGGUCUGCAACCUUACUAGCAACCUCUGAGCCAUGUACUUCCAACAGAAGUCUUCUCCUUCAUUUCCAGGACCCAUGAAUAGCUUUUACAAAUAUUUCAAAGUGAAUUUUGCCUAUAGUGUCAUUUACAGAUCCAGAACUGGCAGCCUCUCAAUAGCUCAUAGCCCAUGCUAGAAGUGAUGACUGCCAGAAUUCCAAUCAGACCCUCAGGAAUCAGUUGAAUGUGCACAGACCACCGAGAUAAAACUUCAAGCUGUAAAGAACCAGAAAUGGCAGACUAAGCAGCACUGUUUUUAAUGGUUUCGUGUCAGCACUCUAGUCAACUCCCCGGGAAAUAACCACUGCAAAAAUCCUCGUUUUGAUUCCAGAAUCCAACCUUAUCGCUGCAGUUCCACAGUUUCUCCCAUCUUAGAAUGCCAUAUGCCUUGCGUGCUCAAGGGAAUGCCUUUAUGUUUUAGACAUUAAGGUAAUCGCUGCAUUAACAACUAGAGAUUCGAAACAUCGGCUCAGAUUCUUCCAACAUUCCCCCCAUCAGAGCUAAAGGGAGUUCUGGAGCUUCUGCUGAAAUGGACACUGUGCAGAUGUCAACGGAAACACAAUUCCAUUGGUGGGCCCACAACACAAUGAUCUGCAUUCUCCAUUGCGCAAAGCAUUGCAUCUAUAAAGACUCUGGUUGCAGUGGUAGAGUUAUUCCUUGUUACACCUGAUAUGGUUUAGCUUCUGGGUCACAUGAAAGUCAUACCAAUGCCGAAAGUGCAUCAAUGUCAUUAAGCUGCACUAGUGGAAAAGUUACUUGGAAUGAGCACUCAUGUUUUGUGUGCCCACAGCAACAUACAAAUGACCUCAACCCACUCUCAUCACAGCGCCUGUAUUCAAGUUUUGAUUCCUGUUCAAGACUUCAGACGAGUUCAGACAGCCAAUGACCUCCCCACCAGAGUUUGUUGGGCUCCAAACCCCAUUAGCUCAAGCCAGCAUGGCCAAUGGGUAAGGAUGAUGAGAGUUGGGGUCCAGCAUCUGGAGGACACGAGAUUCCCAGCCCCCGUACUAGACACAUCCCUUCCCUUCUUUCUCCCAAUAUUCGUAAUCCAUAAUCCAACAAGACAGAGCCAAGUAUGGUACACAAAACGGCUUUUGCAGAAUCAAAUGAUCACACCCCAGCAGAGAUUGCCUGGGAUUACCAACUGAAUUGUUUAAUUUGGAAAUGCAGUAAAAAUAUUUUAACAUAAGGAACCGCAGAAAGAGAGGCAGGGGAGUCAAUAUACAAUAUAUGAAAUAACUUGAUUUUUAAGAGUUUUUUGCUUUUCAUACAAUGAAAAUUAUAAAUAAUUUGUUUUUAAAAGGAAUACCAGCUGCGUUUGGUUACCUUCAAGCGGCAGCUAGGCACACAACCACUAAUCUGAAUGCUUGAAUCCACCCAUUAUAAAGAUACAGAGAGCUUCGCCAACAUCAGGCAACUUCCAGGUUGCUUAUCAUAAGCAAUCUCAGCUCGCAGUCAGGAAUGCAAGGUGAAAGCGAUUUCCAUUCUGGCCUAUCUUCAGCUCAGUUUUCAUGAAAUGGUACAUUUCUCUCUUUGUCCACUAUUUAACAUAAAUUAAGUGCUUAUUUGCCUAAGUUACAAAUUUAACCUAACAAUGCAAUUAUCUGCGCACUAUCUACUUCCAUGGAAAGGAAAUAUCAAAACAAUGUAAAAAGAUUUAAAUGAUAAUAAUAAUUACGUAUCAGUUGUGGGCUUUAGAAAACAAAUACCGUAUUUUUUGCUCUAUAAGACUCACUUUUUCCCUUCUAAAAAGUAAGGGGAAAUGUGUGUGCGUCUUAUGGAGCAAAUGCAGGCUGCGCAGCUAUCACAGAAGCCAGAACAGCAAGAGGGAUUGCUGCUUUCACUACGCAGCAAUCCCUUUUGCUGUUCUGGCUUCUGAGAUUCAGAAUAUUUUUUUUCUUGUUUUCCUCCUCCAAAAACUAGGUGCGUUUUGUGGUCUGGUGCAUCUUAUAGAGCAAAAAAUACGGUAUGUGGUGAGCAAAUCUAGUUGUACAAAAAACACAAUCUGCUUCUGUUUCUGGCAGAAUUCUCUGACUUUCCAACUUGCAGCUUAAUGCCAUAAGACGCUACUCAAAACGUACUAAGGCCGUGCAGUCGUAUCCUUCCACAGUGGGCUUUAAUUGUCAUGCCACAUUAAGGAAACCGAAUGUAACAAAGCUUAGGUCACCACAUGGCUAGAACUUCCCCAGAAAAAUAUGAAACUUCUGACUCACCAUACUGGCAGCGGGAUCCCUGAAAUCCUGCUGGACACUGGCAUAUCCCACCAGAGCAUUUCCCUCCAUUGAAGCAGGUGCCCACAGAACACAAUGCUGGAGAAAAAGGGAAGAGACAAGGAAGCAACAGUUAUAUGCAGAAUCCAUGAGCUUCUCAUACAGCUAAUACUACAAAUGAUGCUUGAAAGCGAAUGUGCCCAAGUCCUCCCUCUAGGAAGGGAAGGAAAGCAUUAUUAAUAAAAUAACCCUGAGGGCUUUUGCGCACAUAACAAGGCAACAAACUAUAAAUGCAUGUUCAGACAACAGGGUGAUGAAACAUUUCAAAAAGAAUGGGAAAAAUUUAUGUCAUACAUAGGAGGGGUAAGGUGAAAUAGUGAAACCAGUAGAACUGAAAUAAACCUCAUAAUGUGAAAUACGAAGAAAAUUUCUGGAUAAAGAAAAUAACUUAAAGUAAAAUGUACAAUGUGAUUAAUGUAACCAAUGGUAGUUGUAAAUGAAUAUAGACAGACAGUAAGAAUUGUAUAUACAGGAGGAUUUGACUAUAGACACUCUAUGGACAAAUACGAAAGAAGAACAACAUACAAAAUGGAUGAAGACAAUGCGAAAAAGUUAGAUGUGCUAUAAAAGGCUAGAAGAAGUCGGCUCUGGGGAGCAGGUGUAAAUGUGAAAUGUAAUGCAAUACGUGUAUGUGGAGUGUACAAAUGAAAACCAAUAAGGAAUAUUAUGGGGGGGGAUAUAAAUGCAUGUUCAGCAACUGGCAGCUGUGUUUUCCUAACGUGUGUGCACAAUACACCGGCAUCCAAACACAGUUGCAAAUUUCAUGCUUGGGACUGUCCUACGCUGUUGUUGUUUUAAUUAAAUGCAAAGGCUCAGUGCUUUAUGCUUUGCAUUAAGAAGGUGCCAAUCUUCGGAGCUGCGAAUGUCCCCUCUAAAACCCUGGAGUCCUGCUGCCAAGCAGUAAAGACAUUACCAGGCUGUAUGGAACAAACGAGAUAGAUCAAUGGUCAGACUCCGUGUUUAUUCAGUUAUUUUGUUUAUUAAAUUUCUAUGCCACCCUUCAUCCUAGAAUCACAGGGCAGUUUACAGUAUAAAAACGCAAAAACACAGAACAGUCAAAACAAAGAACAACAACCCCACACAUAGCCAAUUUAUGGCCUUUCAAAAUUGGUAAUUAUCCAAAGGCGUGAGAGAAGAGGAACGUUUUUGCCUGGUGCCAAAAGAUAUGCAAACAAAGGCGCCAGGUGAGUCUCUCUGGGGAGAGCAUUCCGUAAGCAAGGAAUGCAGAAAUGGCUCGUCUCUGGACCUCUCCUGGAAGAGGCACACAAAGAAGGGCCUCAGAUGAUGAUUGCAGGGUUCAAGUCAAUUCAUAUGGGGAGAGGUGGUCCUUGAGGUAUGGAGGUCCUGAGCCAUUUAAGGCUUUAUAGGUCAAAACCAUGACUUUGUAUUGGGCCCGGAAACUAACUGACAGCCAACACAGAGACAGGCCAGAGUUGGUGUUAUAUGCUCCAACUGUCUUGGGCCCCAGUGAGCAGCCUGGCCACCAAAUUUUGCACCCGCUGAAGUUUCCAAACCUUCUUCAGAGGCAGCCCCACGUAUAACGUGUUGCAGAACCUAGAGGUUACCAGAGCAUGGGCAACAGAAGUUAGGUUAUCCCUGUUCAGAUAGGGGCAUAACUGGGCCAUCAGCUGAAGCUGAUGGAAGGCACUCCAUGCUACGAAGACCACUUGAGGCUCAAGCAAGAGCCAAGGAUCCAGUAGUAGCUCCAAACUGCAUAACCACUUCUUCAGAGGAAGUGUAACCCCAUCAAGUAUAAAGGAGCUUCUUGUGUUCCUGCUUUUUUAAAAAAUUAAUAAAUAAAUAAAUCAAGAAGCAUCUUUAAAGAAUAAUGAGUUAAGCAGCUCACGGUAUUCUACAAUCACAACUUACAGUGAAGGCACCCAGCUUCAUCAGCUUUCUUCUGGCUCCAGCCAGGGCAGCACUUAAAGACAGUGUGAUGUUCCAUGCUGUACACUUGCUUAUAAAUGGUAUAAUAGCUUGUCCUUUAAAAAAUAAUCAUAGUAAAAGCACAGUGUAAGAUAGCGCUAAGACAAAACAUUGCCCUACUUUGUUCAGGCAACAGCUAUGGUCUACAUCCAGCACGCAAGGAAGAAAAUAGCAUCUCUAUUUUGAGACACAUUAUCAGUUAUUGCAUAGCAGUGGUUUUCAAACUUCCUUUCUUUGGGGAAUGCUGUUGACAUUGAACUCACCUGAUUUAUCCUCCAUGCAUCUGCCAUGGGACCCACAUAUUACAGAAACAGGAAGGGGCAAAAAAAUAUUUAGUGAGUAUAUUAGAGGUUACCGCCACCACGCUUCUGCUGCACUUUUCUGCUUGUGUGGUGGCACCUUGGUAAAACCACUUCUUACUGUUGUAGCAGACUUUUCCCCGGAGGCAGAGGACAAGAACAGAAGUCAUCCUCAAAUUCACAAUCAAGAGCUUCUUUAUGGCUUGACUGGUUGCACAAGCAUUUCUGUUACUAUUAUAUACAAGCUAUUUACAUUCCUUCUUUCUCUCUCCAGCAUGGCAUAAUCUCAGCCCAGGAAUUAAUCCUGACACAGCAAAACUCACAAUAUCAGCAGCACAAAUUGUCUUACUUCCAAACUUGUUAUCAGCAUGCGUGCUGACAGUGUGUGUGUGUGUGUGUGUGUGUGUGUGUGUGCGCGCGCUUUCCUCAUGUGGAAAUUGCAGCCUGCAACAACCUCCCUUUAUUUGCACCUCCAGCUGACACCAAUCAAGCCUAGAGUGCCACUCUUACACACUAACGAAAAAUUCUGGAACCCUCUUUAAAGCUUCCAGGAACUUUUUCCUGUUUCUUAAAGAAUGUUUUCCUAAUAGAGUAAAGCAAAGGUGUGCAGUCAGCAUCUCUUAACACUUAACUAAUGUGUGGUAGGUGAUCCUGGGUAUGCCCGCUUGCUUAAGAUGAUGAACACUGCUUCACUGAUCAAACCAUGCUUUAAAAACACAGGACCAUGUGUUACCUUCUCUCAUAGGCCAUGCACCAUCUCUGUCCUGCACAGUCCUGCUUCCACAUCUUCACCAAACGGGUAAAGGCUUGAACACAUGGCUGGCGAUGCCCCACCAUGGCCAACUCUUGCUCGGAACAGACAUUUGGCCUGCAAUUUUGGGAGAAGAAAAUAAAUCAAGAGCAUGCACUGUGGACACACAACACCAGAUAAGUCUGUCAAACGCUCCCAAUUCUUAUUUUGAUUACCCAGAUAUGAGUCACCAACACCUUCCUAUCUACUUUAUGUUGUAAACAGCACGUAAUUUUAGACCAAGCCUCUUCACCGGCUGAUUCACACAUAACUUGAUCUUCAAUUGCUCAACUAUGAAUAAUUAGCAGAUGGUUGUACAGACCUGAGAUGGAAAACCUAUAGUCCCCCAAAUACUGUUGGACCUCAAUUCUCAGCAUCCCCAAGCAGCACUGACAAUGCUCAAGGAUUAUGGGAGCCAUUGCCCAGCAACAUCUUUUAAAUGUGUUGUGGGAGGGGAAUUAUUGGUUUGUUUUUGUUCUUAUUUUUACUUUGUAUUUUGUGUUUUUUUAAUUGUAAUUUUAUCUUGUGACACCCGCCCCCCGAGGUCUAUGGAUAAAGGGUAAUAUAAAAGUAAUAAAAUAAUAAUAAUCUGGAGAGCCACAGGUUCCCAUCCCUUGUCUAUUGAGUUCACUUUCCCCAACACACUGCAGAGUGGCUCCUGCUCAAACGUAUCUCUCGGAAGUCCCUUAUCACUGGAAGUCCUCUGUUCAAAUGUCACCACAGUGAUGAUCUCAUUAGGUGGCCUUAGGCAAGCCACCCUUUCUCAGCCUUAAGUUUCUCCAUCUGCAGUAUGGGGAAUAAUAAUGUUCUUAUUUUACAGGGAUGUAGACCAGGCAUAUGAACCACUCUGAAUACUUACCACAGAGAUUUUCAAGCUGUUUUGAAAUACUUUUAGAUAAAAUAACUAACACACGCACAAAAGGCUAAGUACCAGGAACUGAACCUGGGAUUCUCUGCAUGCAAAGUAUGUGCUCUGUUCUUGUGCUAUGCCCCUUCCACAGUGGUAGUAGGGAGGAAAGCUGAACGGUCUCGCUGGAGAGAAGGCACUCACCCCCACACACACACCAUCAACAAUUUGGAGUUCUCCGUUAUUCUUGCAGCUUCAACUGCAAAUUGAAUCCAAGGGGAGUUGGAAGUUCAAACGCCUCAGCUCUUCCACAUAUUUCUAUAGUGUCCAGAAUAGAGCUUCUGCAUCUCCCCACUCUGGAGAUGCCGAAGGUCCCAAUGGGCUCCAUUAACGUUUGUGUCAACAAAAUGAGGAACAGAACCCAUUGCACUGCAAAAACUGUACGUGAGAGGUAUGUUCUCAUGGGCUCCCAAACACAGUCAAUAAGAACUUAAGGGCUCCCACUGGGACAACUGUCGUCCCUUCCAAUGGGGGCCUGCUUCAAACCUAGACCAGGGGUGGGGAAUCAGAUGUUCGGUUAAUGUUUCCAUCAUUCCUGCCAUUGCCCAUGCUGACUGGGGUUGAUGAGAGAUUCCAACAUCUUGGGGACUCCUGGUUCCCCAUCCCUGCUUCAGACUAUAUACUGCGGAGCAGUAAUUUCCAAGCUGUAUUCUGAAGAAACCUGGUAUGUAUUUAAGCAAAGGUUGGAGGACCACCUGUCCUGAAUGGGUCUGGAUUGCAUGGGGACUAGAUUGCCCUUGGUGUCCCUUCGAACUGUACGGUUCUAUGAUUCCUUGAAAGCCUGACAAGCAAUACGAGAAAAAUCAUUUCUUCCUUCAUUGAUUUUUAAUUUCAAGUAAUGUAACAUGUCCAUACAAGGAAAACAUAGCUUAGUAGUUGUACAGAAAAGAAAAAUAGCGUCUGACAGUUGUAGUUUUAGACGUUCCAGGAAAGGCAAUCUCUCCCAAAGUGUCUCUCCAUAAGGUUCCAUGAGUCAAUGGAGGGUGAAAACCAUGUUCGAUUGUCUUAACAAAGUCAAUAAAAGGACAUCAUGUCCUAUAAAAGGUGUGAGUCUCCCCCCACUCCAAUCGAUAUUCCUUUUGUGAAAUGGUUAAUUUGUCCAUAAGCACGAUGUCCCAUACUUGUGAAAUCCAGGCUUCAAAAAGAUUUGUGUUUAAGGUUUUCCCAUGUCUUGCAGUCAUUAACCUAGCUGCAGUUAAUGGAGGUUGGGGUCUUUAUUGGUGAUGUUCUUAAGUAAAAUGAGGCAAUAGGGCUAAUUUUGGGUCUGGGUGUAGCAAUAGUCCCAUCACUUGAAUAAUUGCUUGCAAAACUUUUUCCCAAAAGGGAGUAAAUUUUGGGCAAAACCACCACACGUAGAGAGCCAGGUAAAUUGAAUUCCCACCAACAAAUUAUGAUUAAUUCUAUAUAUCCUGGCUGGGCACAUGUACCAGCGUUGUGCUAUCUUUAAAACAUUUUCUUGAGUUUCUUGGAGGGAUCCAAAUGAUAGCUGAUUCCAAAUUUGUUCCCACAGUUGUUCCUCUAGUCUCCAAAACCUUUCCCCCAUUUCAGUCUUAAUUUUAUCCAAUUGUGGUGAGGAUUUUAUCUAGUUGGGGGAUGCUUCCCUUUCCUAGUGGGUUGGUUGAGUAGUUGUUCAAAACUAAUUCACCUGCAUAAUGCUUGAGUCCUUAUAUUUGGCUGGUUUAGAAAAUGCAUAAUCUGGUGUAUCUCUAGCCAACCACAUGGUUUAUCUCCCAACUUAAAAUUUAUUUCUGGAGCUGUAAGGGGUUUUUGAUCAGCGUAGAAGCUUCUGAGUUUAUAUAAUCCCAUUGCUUCCCACCUGGCAAAUGAGCCUGAUUUGGCUGCUGUGCAGAAGGAAGUGUGUUGUGUUACUGAGAGAGAGAAAUCAUUUCUAAGAUACAGUUUUGUCCAAAGGUUUCUUACAAAGUGCAAACACAGAGUAUGGUUUGAUGUAUUCUGGGCUCCAAUGCAGGCAACAAUGAACCCAAUCCUCUGCAAUGCCAGCCAUGAAAGGGCUUCUCAGAAGAAGGGUCUAUUUGCUAAGUACUAGGCACUUAUAUAUAGUGCUUUAGGAAGUUUGCACUUCCCAUACAGCAGCACUGUAGCCCUUCCUAACCUGAAUUACAAACUUGAUUAUCCUUGUAUUGCAAGUGGCAGGUGACAGGUGGGGACAGGACAGGGCUGAUGUGGUGGGGCUCGUCUAAGUCCUCCUAAUAAGGAUGGCAAAGAAGCAGUCAACCAGAAACUCAGUCCUUUAACCACUACACUAGGCUAGCUAUCCAGAAACAUGUUCCCUAAAAAGGAAGGGAGUCUGGAAACUGGAGGCUAAUCAUCAAUAUGCCAUCUAGUCACCAUUUCCCCCAACCAGAAUCCAGAAACAUGAAUCGAAUGGAUUUAAAAAGCAGGAAGAUGAAUGCCCUCGGGUGACAUGCCUGCUCAAAUAUAACCAGUAUAGGAUGAGAAGUUUAGAUUGUGCUAUGAAUUUGCAUUAACUGAAAAAUGAUCAAACUGUUUAGUGGGCAGCUGCUCAGUAGGUGCUAAACACACUAUAGUAAGCGUCUAAAUUCAGCAGAAGAGUCUUUUCACGCCCCCACUAAACAGAAGGUGUCCCAGCUUGUAUCAGGUCAACUGAAGCGUCUGCUGUCUGAACACUAUUGAUCCCUGUGAAGUCAAGAUACACUUGAUUUGCCACAUUACAGCAACCCCACCACCCGCAAGCAGUGAGACGUUCCAGGGGCAAUGCUAUAGGGUUUUAUUUUCUUGAAUGAGGAAGCACAGGUCUGAAUAUUUAAGAUGUCUUUGUAAUAUAUCUAUUACAAAAUAAGCCAGCACUGUGUGAGUGGAAGUAAGCUGAUUCUUCAAAGCUGGCAGAAAACGCAUCAUUAUUGUGCAAAGUUCACAGAGUCCCUGCAACCCAAAAUAUAUAUUUAUUUUUUUACAGCCAGCUAAUAGCUCUCUCUCUCUCCCUCUCUUCUUCAGUUCAUACAAUUAACUGGUUCUUCUGCUUCUCCCCCCCAUCUCUAACAUGACAUCCCUGCCUCCUGCCAAAAGCAGGGGAAGAGAGAUUCCCAGCCAUCAAGGACAGAGAAGGGGAGGAAAUGGUAGGGCAGGAUCUAAUGGCAGAUCUCUGGGUGAUUUGCAGUAGAUCAGAAAGGGUUUCUGACUCCCAAUUGUUUAACUAUUAGGCUCCUUUGAGAGGAAGGGCAGGAUAUAAAUGUAAUAUAAAACAACAACAGCGCCAGUAGCUUAGAAGGAUGUGUCAAUUUCAGUUCUCUCAUUGCCUCAUUUUUAAAGCUUAAAUUCAGUUCUCCACAUUUCUGCAGCAAGCUGCAAACAGGAACACUGCAAAAUCCUAACGAAAAUUCACCAGCAUUUUAGAGUGAAUUUCUCCUAACAAACAAAUUUUUUUUAAAAUACGGUUUUGACCGAUGUACACAUUUUUGCAAAAGAUUCCCCCAAUACACUUCUGUAUGUUGUACUCACUAAUAUAAUCAUACUUAUGCACACUUGUCCCUAAUAUAUGAAUUUUUGUAGAUAAUGGUUGGUUGGAGAACUGCAUCAAAAUAAAUAAAUCAGUGUGGAUUUCGAGGGAUGGCUGUGUUUUGGUUCUCAAUUUGUGAUGACUUGCAUGUGUGAAACGGCCAAAGGUCACUGGCAGAACACUUUCCCAAUGCCUCGGUUGUUACUGUACAUUGUUUGAGGAUCAUACUGGCAGAUAACCACUGUAUUCUGCUCUGGUCAGACCUCACCUGGAGUACUGUGUCCAGUUCUGGGCACCACAGUUCAAGAAGGACACUGACAAACUGGAACGUGUCCAGAGGAGGGCAACCAAAAUGGUCAAAGGCCUGGAAACGAUGCCUUAUGAGGAACGGCUAAGGGAGCUGGGCAUGUUUAGCCUGGAGAAGAGGAGGUUAAGGGGUGAUAUGAUAGCCAUGUUCAAAUAUAUAAAAGGAUGUCACAUAGAGGAGGGAGAAAGGUUGUUUUCUGCUGCUCCAGAGAAGCGGACACGGAGCAAUGGAUCCAAACUACAAGAAAGAAGAUUCCACCUAAACAUUAGGAAGAACUUCCUGACAGUAAGAGCUGUUCGACAGUGGAAUUUGCUGUCAAGGAGUGUGGUGGAGUUUCCUUCUUUGGAGGUCUUUAAGCAGAGGCUUGACAACCAUAUGUCAGGAGUGCUCUGAUGGUGUUUCCUGCUUGGCAGGGGGUUGGACUCGAUGACCCUUGUGGUCUCUUCCAACUCUAUGAUUCUAUGAUUCUAUGAUUCUAUGAACCAGCCUAUAACAUGGAGCAUCUUUUGAAGGAGCGUCUCCACCCCCAUCAUUCUGUCCGGAUGCUGAGGUCCAGCGCCAAGGGCCUUCUGGCGGUUCCCUCACUGCAAGAAGCAAAGCUACAGGGAACCAGGCAGAGGGCCUUCUCGGUAGUGGCGCCCACCCUGUGGAACGCCCUCCCAUCAGAUGUCAAGGAAAUUAACAACUACCUGACUUUUAGAAAACAUCUGAAAGCAGCUCUGUUUAGGGGAGUUUUUAAUGUUUGAUUCUAUUUUUAAUAUUCUGCUGGGAGCCUCCCAGAAUGGCUGGGGAAACCCAGCCAGAUGGGCAGGGUACAAAUAAAAAAUUAUUAUUAUUAUUAUUAUUAUUAUUGGUACAUUUAGCUCUAUGCUGACUGGCAGCAGCUGUCCAGUAUUUCAGACAGGAGACACUCCCUGCUUACAUGGAGGAGCUGAGGGUUGAACCAGGGACCUUCUGAAUACAAAGCCUCUGCUCUACCCCUGAGCUAUGGACCCUUCACAAUGACUAUGUAUAUAUAUUAACACAUGCUAUAAUCUCCAGUAAAAGAAAUAAAUGAAGAUGUAGCAGGCUUUAGGUUUGUCUAUACAUACCAAGGAGAUUAAUUUCAACCUCGCUGGUGAAAAUGUUUUAGAAGCAUGCAUUUAAAAGCUUGCUGCAUAAUUGCCACUUCUAUAAAACCACAAUUGUCAGUCUCCAAAUAUAUGGCAAAUCAAAUGUUACCAUACUCACCUACAGCUGUUCAGAAAUAUGGAGAAGCAGAAGACAGAUGUGAAUUUACUGCAGGGGAAACCCUGUGACUCUCAAUAGCUCAGUCAGCAGAGCAUGAGACUUAAUCUCAGGGUCGUGGGUUUGAGCCCCAUGUUGGGUAAAGAUUCCUGCAUUGCAGAGGCAUGGACUAGAUGACCAUUGUGAUCCCUUCCAAUUCUACAAUUCUAUGAUUAUUGAAUUACAACUCUCAUCAGUGCUGGCCAUCAGCUGGUCCUCCGUCUGGGAGGACCAAAGAUUUCCCCUUUCUGGUUUACUGACUGCUGUACUUCCUUACACAUGGUAACAAAGCCCUAGAAACAGACCUGACAUAAGACAGAUGGCUGCUAGGCAUAAUAAUAAUAAUAAAAAUUUAUUUAUAUACUGUCCUCCCCAGCCAAAGCCGGGCUCAGAGCGUCUAACAAUAAAAGUAACACAGUUUACAUAAAAUCAAUUAAUUGAAAUGCAUUCUAAAAUCAAUUCAAAAUCAAAUUAAUGACAACCAUUGGGCUAGAGUUCUGUGAGGAUUAUCGAAGGAGGGGGUCAGACUGUGCCUUGGCCAAAGGCCUGGUGGAACAGAUGUCAAGUCCCACAGGGCCCUAGUCUCUUGUGACAGAGCGUUCCACCAGAUCGGGACCACAGCCGAAAAAGCCCGGCUCUGUUCGAGGCCAGCCUAACCUCUCUGUGGCCCGAGACCUCCAGUAUUUUUGUUUGAAGACCAUAAGGUCCUCCGUGGGACAUACCAGGAGAGGCGGUCCUGUAGGUCCUAGGCUGUAUAAGGCUUUAAAGGUUAAAACCAGCACCUUGAACCUGAUCCUGUAUUCCACCAGGAACCAGUGCAGCUGGUAUAGCAUGGGGUGAAUGUGAUCCCACGGCAAGGACCCCGUAAGGAGUCUCGCUGCAGCAUUCUGCACUCGCUGGAGUUUCUGGGUCAGUCUCUAGGGCAGCCCCACGUAGAGUGAGCAUAAUGGCGAUCUAGUACCUCCAGCAUUGGAGGCACCAUACCUCUGUACCAAUCAUUGAGGAACAGCAGGAAAGGGUUACUGUUGAACUGAAUUUUUUAAUUAAAUUGAAUUUAUACACUGCCAAAGGAGCCAAGGACUAUAGGACUCAUGCCCUGCCUGUAGGCUGUCACUAGGCAUUUGGUUGGUCAUUGUGGGUAACACGAUGCAGGACUACAUAAGCUUUUGUCUGACUCAGGACAGCUCUUAGGUAUUCACAGCUAUCUAAUUCCACUCAAAAUAUACUCUGGCCAUGAAAUUAUACUACAUAAACUACAUCAACAGCAUUCGAAAUUCAGAAAUAUAAUCUAGGUGACAAAUGGCUCCUUAAACCAGGGUUACAGUUAUGAAAGCGGAAUGUCUAGUUGCCAUUUUGGGGCCAGACGGCUCGAAAGUCAUAUUUUUAUACAACUUUUUGGUUCCUGAAAAUUCAUUCUGAUUGUGCAGAUAAAAUAUAAUGGAUAAAAAUCUAUAGGAUGUGUUGCUAGUCUGUGAAAACAGUCAAGAUCCAAUGAUCUCCAUGCACCUCGAAAUGGUGAAAAAGUUGGCGUCAUCCUGGCACCCGGGCAUGUUCACUUGAACACUGAUCAAUCAAUGUAUUUAACCAGCACAUAGUUCAAUGUUAUCUAUGCCACCACCUACCUUCAAUGGCUGUAUGCAGUUAAUGCAAGAUAAAUUUGGCUGUGUGCAUAUAAACAACGAGCAGGGGAUGCAAUUAGAUUUCAGAACAGUGGAGUCUACCACAAAAAUAAAUCAACCACUCUAAGGUUACCAUACUUAAACAAAGCUUAUAUAGGAAACAGAGAGAAGAUAAGACUACUGAACAAAGCUGAUGCACUCUUUUUAUUUGAAAAUACGAAAAUCAGUAUCUUACAUGCAGCAUUUGUGAGAGCCUUGGACUAACUCAAAUGAAUGCACUCACUGACAUCAGUUGAUGGGAUCAUCUAUCUAAUGUGUUCCAGGAAACCCUGGAGUUCCUCCAAAGUUCAUCAGGGAUUCUUCAAUGAGGAAAUCAGAAGGAGCGGGCAAGCCUCCUUUAACAACACCUUGCCCACCAUCAUCUGCCUUCCCUUUCAGUGUACAAGCUGUAUGUUCUAGAUUUAUUUGUUUCAUUAUGAAUCACUUCCCAUGAAACAGCCUGAAGCAAUUCAAGAAUAAAAGCAUCCACAAUGAAACCUAUAUGAAUACUAUUUCUAAACCAAAGUAGACAAAUGUUGGGAUUUUUAAAAAAAUCUCCACUAAAAAGGCUUGUUGGAAGAGAAAGGUCUUCAAUAAAUACUACUACUACUACUACUACUAAUAAUAAUAAUUUAUUAUUUAUACCCUGCUCAUCUGGCUGGGUUUCCCCAGCCACUCUGGGUGGCUCCCAACAGAAUAUUAAAAAUAGAAUCAAACAUUAAAAACUUCCCUAAGCAGGUGCUAAGGCAAAGGGUAGAUGGCCUACAUCACAUGGAAUGGACCCCUGAGUGGGAUGGCAUCUGUGCAAGCCCCUCUCCUGCAGAAUGUAGUGAUCAAUGGGAUAUAUAAGGGGGUGAAAUGAUCUUUUAGGUGACCCGAUCCCAAACUGCAUCUGGCUUCAUACACCAACACUAGCAACGUAAAGUUAGCCUGGUAGCUAGUUGGCUGCAGUCAUCUCAUGGGAGUGAUAACAAGGCCUAGGAGGCAACCCCUCAUUCUGAGGGCGGUAGAACUACAAGAAGGCUCCCUCUGCCGAUCUUAAUACCUGGAAUAUUAUUGUGUACGGGAAGGGGGGCAGUCUCUCAGAUAUGUACCUAAAACAUUCCCUGAUAUUCUGUAGCAUGUAGAGGUUUCCUGAGAAGAUAACGCCAUGUGAAAGUGUUUGCUCAAAUUCGAAAGUUUUAAAAAAGAACUGAUCAAUUGCAUCUCGGCUGGGAACAUACUCCUUUUCCUUUACACUUGGUAGAAAUAGUAUUUUCUUCUACUGGAGCGCUCUCUCUCUCUAUAUAUAUAUACACACAGUCGUAACUUGGAAGUCAAAUGGAAUUCAUUCCGGAAGUCCGUUCGACUUCCAAAAUGUUCGGAAACCAAGGCACGGUUUCCGAUUGGCCUCAGGAAGCUUCUGCAGCCAAUCGGAAGCCACGUCGGACAUUCGGGUUCCAAAAAACGUUCGCAAACCGGAACACUCACUGCCAGGUUUGCAACAUUUGGGAGCCAAAACAUUUGACUUGCAAGGAGUUCAGGAUCCAAGGUGCGACUGUAUACAGAUAAUUUUUUCAACACAUUGUUGCCCCCUCCAUGUGUCUUAGAAGGUAGGCUGUUGCCUAUUACUGUUUGCAUGACAAUAAAUUAAUCCGAACAUUAAUUGUAUGAAUGCAAUCAACAUGCACUUUUUCUAAACUUAAUGUAGCAAUGGGAAGUGGGAAGCAUUUAAGCCAGGUGUGGUUUUCCUGCAGCCUUCAAGUUGGUGAACUGAAGCUCCAAUUAGUCGAUUUUUGCACCUUCUUACUGAGACUUUGGCUGAGUGCAUAUAAACAAUAGGACAUGGGUGGCGCUGUGGUCUAAACCACUGAGCCUAGGGCUUGCCAAUCAGAAGGUCGGCGGUUUGAAUCCCCGCGAUGGGGUGAGCUCCCGUUGUUCAGUCCCUGCUCCUGCCAACCUAGCAGUUCGAAAGCACGUCAAAGUGCAAGUAGAUAAAUAGGUAUUACGCCGGCGGGAAGGUAAACGGCGUUUCCAUGUGCUGCUCUGGUUCUCCAGAAGCGGGUUAGUCAUGCUGGCCACAUGACCCGGAAGCUGUACGCCGGCUCCCUCGGCCAAUAAAGCAAGAUAAGUGCUGCAACCCCAGAGUCGUCCAAGACUGGACCUAAUGGUCAGGGGUUCCUUUACCCUUUUCCUUUCACCGAGACUUACAAAGCAACCUAGCCCUUCAUAAUAGCAACCCUUAUAAAUGUGUGACCGUCUUAAUAUUCCUGGCCACUUUUGCUCCAAAGCACGCCACCUCUUUAGAUAGUUGCAAUAAGGUUAAUGUAGCAAGUAACGCGGGAAGCAACUGCCACUAUUUACCUCAGAUUGUGUCAUAAAAUCUUUAAAAUCGUUAAAAUACAAAGCCGUCACCUCUCAGCAUCUUUAUCGUAGAAAAACAUCACAUCCAGGUUUGCCUCCCAGAGGACAUGACUAGGAGAGGGGCGGGAAACCAUUUUACAGCCUGAGGGCCUCUCACCCUUUGGGGCAAGCAUCCAGGGGCCACAUUCCAGUGGGUCCAGAGGCAAAAGUGGGAAGAGCAACAAAUGGAGAUUUUGACCUUAAAACAAAAGGCUGGUGUCUCCGCAGGCCAAAUACAACCUCUCUGCCCUUCCCCAGGCAAAGAAUGAGACCCUAUCUGAGUUCAAGGACCCACUGCAGCCAGGCAAAACCACUCAAUGCUGCUACAAAGCAGGCAUGUUGAGGGGCUGUGGCUGGGGAGAGUCCCAUGGGCAACACAGAGAGAGGCUUGAGGGCUGCGUUUGCCCCCCAGGCCAGAGGUUUCCCUGCCCUCACACUAGGAAGUGAUAGCCCUGGCCUUUAAUAUUAGGAGAAAGGUGAAAACUAAAUAAAGAUAUGUUACCACACUAAUUUCAUAUGUUCUCACUCAGGAGUGGGACUCUCCAAAAACGUUUUAGUUAUCUCAGAAGGAAACAACCCUGAAGUGAACUUCAAUGUGUUAGGCGCAUGCUAACACCAAUUAUCACCCAAUAAUCAGAAUACGAAACUGGUAGCAACAGUAACCACAUGAGUCAUCAAUCUUUGUUAAGCGCCUCACAUAAAUACCCUAAAACAGGUUUCCUCAACCUUGGCCCUCCAGAUGUUUUGAGACUACAAUUCCCAGCAUCCCUGACCACUGGUGCUGCUAGCUAGGGAUCAUGGGAGUUGUAGGCCAAAAACAUCUGGAGGGCCGAGGUUGAGGAAGCCUGCUCUAAAACAACCCCCCCGUCUUUUCCACCGCUGUGACCCAUCUUUGACCCCAGCACCGUGCACAGGAACCACUUUAAGUUGUUUACGGUUUACUAUGCCCAUUAUUCUCCUCUCCCCCUUGGUUCUCAAACUUAAUCCGUUCCAGAAGUCUGUUCCAAAACCAAAGUGUUCCAAAACCGAGGCACACUUCCCCAUAGAAAGUAAUGCAAAAUAAAUUAAUCCGUUCCAGACUUUUAAAAACAACCCCUAAAACAGCAAUACAACAUGAAUUUUACUAUCAAACGAGACCAUUGAUCCAUAAAAUGAAAGCAAUAAACAAUGUACUGCAGUCACACAGUCAAUCAGUCAGUAGCUGAACUGGGUUCCACACAGUCACAAAAACAAAAAAAAAGAGCCGCAAAAACAAAAAUGCAAAAUAGCAAAAACAGACAGACCUCAGCAAUAACACUCAAAACAGAAGCUCAGAACAGAAGCAUGGCACUCAAAAUGGAGCACGUUCAGCUUCUGAAAAAGGUUCACAAACCGGAACACUUACCUCCAGGUUUGCAGUGUUUGGGUACAAAGGCAUUUGAGAACCAAGGUACCAUUGUACACUUUCCCUCCCUUUGUGCUCCCUAGUUUCUGCUGUUGUCCCUCCUUUCACUACUCUUAAGAAAAUGAAAGUCACCAGGAAAAAACCAUUAAAAAUGGGACAUGGCCCUGGUGAGAGCCACGUUAGGUUCAUCUGUGACCUAAUUACGAGUCCUGAUUUAUUAGAAGAAGACCUUUACCCAAAUUUAUUUUCAAAGGUGGAUAAGGUUCACAGGUGAGGACUAUGCUAUCUCAUGUAAAUAAUAAUAAUAAUAAUACCAAGAACCAAUAUACAUUUCCCAAUGGAAAGCUGUAGACAUUGGUCACAGGGGGAAAAGGAAAUUAAAAAAUGACCCAGUCCCAAAAUAGGAGCACUAUCAUGGGGUGCUAAAGAUGCAGUGACAAUCUAUGACUUCUAAUGUCAACAACAGCAGUUUGAAACUGUGAACCUGCCCUUUAGACGCUCCGCAGAAUAAUUCUGCCUAAAGAUGGUUGCAAGAGGUACAGACAGCAGCCUGCUCCCUCUUCCCUUCUCCCCACCCCCCACCCUCACCGCAAAGUUACACAUCUCCCUAAUCGUUUCUCUGUUCAAUAACCUCCGGAGACCUGAAGUCUGCAGCUAUUGCACAAAGCAGCUGUCAAGAAAAGAAAUCCAAUUAAACUUUUUGCCAUGGGGCUGACCCCGAUUGUAGGCUGCAGUAUAGACCAGACAGUGUCACUCAAGCAUUAGGUAACACACAAGAACAGGCAAGGCACUUCACACAGCAGGCACAAUGCCACACUCUUUGACUCCAGUUAAUUAAUGCAGCAUAAUUACAGCCCUCCUGAUUCUAACCUCUUGUCACAACGGCCAAUUCAAAUCACCACUGCAUAUAUGAAGCACAUACUGAAAUUAUCAUUAAGAGCAAUUUGAUCAUUUUAUUACAGAAGAUGAAAUGUGUCCUGUCUCCAAAGCCAGAAGAUCAGGGACAUGCUAUGGGUUUGUGCACACUGGUGACGAGUUACCUCUUCCCUUCCUAUGGUUUUCCUCAAGCAGUUUUGUUGGUAUCGGCACUGACCAUGGUUUAAAGCGGGUUUGCCUCCAAACAAUGAUUAAUGUCACUGGGAAGCUGCAAUUAAAGUAAGCUAUGGGGAGGAAGAAAUUCGUGCAGAAAAGGGGAGGAGUGAAGGGAUGCAAACCCCUGCAACCCUAAACCGUGGUUUGGCGAUCUGGACCGCCAUGUCUGCACAGAACCUUAGACUCUGACUAUAAGGAUAGCAAUAAAGGCAUACUGUUGGAUAACUAAACCAUGAUGGCAUGCCAUGUAUGUGUCCUGCCCAAAGGAUGUAGCAUUUAGAAUACUCUUGGUCUGUCUGGAAUAAAAUUAAAGUCGCUACAUAUCACUUGAAAGCAAAAACAAGCAAAAGCAGAUUGCAUGCAAUGUUGCAACUGUAAACACGUUUGAUGGAAGCUUCCUCCCCUAGCUUCCUUCCUACAUACACCAUCACUCAAGAAACCCAAUGCAGGAAUCUGCCUUUUAGAAAGAGGGAGUAUUGCUCCAUUUAGCUUAGUAGAGCAGUAGCUCUCCAAGGUUUCAGGUAGGAGGCAUUUCCAGCUUUACCUGGAGAUUCCAAGGAAUGAACCUGGGACUUCUGCAUGAAAAGCAGAUGCUCUACCACUGAGCUAUGGCUGUUCCCAAAGGGUCUAACAAAAGAAUUCACUUUGUUUUUGGUGCUCACAGCAAACACCAAAAACAAAUCACAUGGAAGGAGUGCGCAAUGUGAAUCUCUGUUACACAUGCAAAGAGCUAGAAGCCACAACUUAUCAGGGUUUUCCACCACACCUCCACACGGAAAUGCUUAUACAGUAUGCUUUUCUCAGCCAUGACCAAAGGAUAAGUGGUCACACUCUUGUCAGCACAGACGCAAAAUGCAUGUAGACAUUUUGUCAAUGCACAGAGCAGCUGUGAAUUCCACAGAAGCCAACAAGAGUCCACAAAGUGAGGGCAUUUAGAACUGGAGUGAGAUACCGCCUUAAGUACUUUGGGAGGAAUUCAGUGUCGUGCUAAGGCGACUGCUCUAUCAGUGCAAGCAUUCCUGCUUGCCGGACAAUCUGCUGUCUCCCCUCUACACAAACCUGCUAUUCCAGGGUUUCUCCUGACUCUCCCAAGCAGAUUUGGAGAUAAUGGAGGGCAGGGGGAGGCGGAGAAAUCAUGCAGGGGGAGGAGAGGGGAUCAAGUCCCAUUGCACUAGUUUCUGAUAGCACAACAACUUACUUGAAUCUGGUCCUUUGUCUGAAAAAUGCUUAUUGACUAAAGGGAGUAAAACUUCCCUUGCUCCCAAAGAGCAAGGAUGCCUUAAUUUACUAAAGCAGAAUGCCGCAGAUAAACUUGCACAUGAUUAGUCUAUUAAAUCGUGAAAAAUCACCUCCCCCCCAAUGCUUACCUCCCUGUCUUGCAUUCAGGAAGUUCCUGGUUCAAUUCCCAACAUCUGCCACACCAUAAACUUAAAGCGCAUCCAGCACACAUUUGAAGUACAUGACUUCUCCCAAAGAAUCCUGGGAACUGUAGCUUCCCCUGGAAAAACUGGAAAAACUACAGUUUGUAAUGCAUGUGCUUUAAAUGUGUAGCUGGAUGUGCUUUGAAUGUAUGGGGUGGCUCUGCCCAAGAACUCUGCCUGCGACCUUGUACAGCCAUUGCCCAUCAGACUUGACAAUAUUGGGAAUAGAAUGGAUGGACAAACUUGGCAGGAAGCAGAUUCCUAUAGGGACGGUUUCACUUUAGCAACAGCACCCUUUUAUUAACCUUCCUCAUUCACAGGAACACAGGAACCUCCUGCCUUGUACUGAGACAGACCUCCAUCUAGCUCAAUAUUGUCUACACGGGUGAACAGCAGCUCUCACGGGUUUCAGGCAGCCUUACCUGGAGACACUGGGGAUUGAACCUGGAAACUUCUGCAUGCACAACAGAUGCUCUCCCAAUAAAACUGCUAAUACAUUUGCAAUGCUAAGCAGGGACUGGUGUGCUUUUGAAUUGGAUGGGGGGGAGGGUCCUAUGUUGAGAUUCCGGCAAUGCAGGGGGUUGGACUAGAUGACCCUUGCGGUCCCUUGCAACUCUACAAUUCCGUGAUUAAAUAAAGAGGCUGCAAUCCUAGCCAUGCCUAAAUUUAGGACUAAGCGCAGCUGAAUUAAGAUGAGCAUACGCCCAGGUGAAUGGGGUUAGGAUAGCAGCUUUAGAGAGGAGGGGAGCAAAACGGGAAUUCCAAGACAUUCCACCCUUUGUGCGGGGAUCAAAGCGACCCGCCCCCGCUCCGUUUCCCUCCCCGCACAGAACAAGAUGCAAAAGGACUCUGAGCAACCAGCUCCCCCUUCUAAGGAAAAAAAAGACCCGUCCGCUGCACUCACAUGCCCUGCUGAAGUUGCAGCGGCGCGCUGGGCGAGACCACCAGGCUGCCAAGGAUGCACACGAGCCACGCUGCGCUCGGGGUCAUCUCGGCGGGGCUCCGAGGUCGAAAGCCGCCGGCUGCAGGUCUUCAGCUGCCCGUCCCGGGCUAGCGCUGCUGCAGAAGAGCAGCGAGCUGCGGGAAAGUUGGCAUCGGGGAACUUCAGAGGGGACGGUCGCUGCGCGUUCGGAUUAAGAGGGAUUAAGGAGGUUUAACAAAAAAUAAAAUUAUUUUUUAAAAAUCGGGAAGCGCUGCUGCACCGGCGGCGUACGGGGGAAGCAACCGAUGAGGGCAAUUUCCUUCCAGCUUUCUGCGUCUCUCCUCGCCGCGCAGCUCGCCAGCCCCGCGCAAGCAACAGGCUCCGCUGAAGCUCCACCUCCCAGGCGCAGCUUGCAGCCCUCCAAAUCAUUUAAAGCCUCCGCCGAGCCAAUCACGCCUUUCCAAGUUCCUCGCCCCGCCCACAAUUUGGGUCGGGGGUGGGAGGCGCGCUCUGCUGGGAUUCCUAGAAAAAGAAGAAGAAUCCGUCAACGGGGAUGGACUAUCUAAUACUGAAUUUACAGCCCCACGUGGGGGAGUCAGGCUCAUUUGCUUCCCCUUCGCAGUCGAUCAAGUCGUGUCUAACUUUGCACUGGCUGCGUAGAAUAAAUAUGACGCUUCGGUCGCUUCACCGUCAAUAAAUUCCUCCCUAAUUCUGCAUCCAUAAAUGAUAGAUUCUGCAACUGGAAUUGUGUAACCGUAGUACUGUACACAUAUUUACUGUUUCUGGCUGUGAAAUGGGGAGGGGGAAAAAUAAUUUCAGCCUGCCUAGAUAGAUGAUAUUUAUUUAUUUAUUUAUUUAUUUAUACAUACCCCGCCCAUCUGGCUGGGUUUCCCCAGCCACUCUGGGCGGCUUCCGACAAAACACUAAAACACAAUAACCUAUUAAACAUUAAAGGAAGACAUCUACUUCUGCUUCAUUGACUAUGCAAAAGCCUUUGACUGUGUCGACCACAGCAAACUAUGGCAAGUUCUUAAAGAAAUGGGAGUGCCUGAUCACCUCAUCUGUCUCCUGAGAAAUCUCUAUGUGGGACAAGAAGCUACAGUUAGAACUGGAUAUGGAACAACUGAUUGGUUCAAAAUUGGGAAAGGAGUACGGCAAGGCUGUAUAUUGUCUCCCUGCUUAUUUAACUUAUAUGCAGAAUUAAUCAUGCGAAAGGCUGGGCUGGAUGAAUCCCAAGCCGGAAUUAAGAUCGCCGGAAGAAAUAUCAACAACCUCAGAUAUGCAGAUGAUACAACCUUGAUGGCAGAAAGUGAAGAGGAAUUAAAGAACCUUUUAAUGAGGGUGAAAGAGGAGAGCGCAAAAUAUGGUCUUAAGGCAUCCAUUCUUAAGGAAAUCAGCCCUGUGUGGUUCACAGAUCGUGAAGCUGAGGCUCCAAUACUUUGGCCACCUCAUGAGAAGAGAAGACUCCCUGGAAAAGACCCUGAUGUUGGGAAAGAUGGAGGGCACAAGAAGAAGGGGACGACAGAGGACGAGAUGGUUGGACAGUGUUCUCGAAGCCACAAACAUGAGUCUGACCAAACUGUGGGAGGCAGUGGAAGACAGGAGGGCCUGGCCUGCUCUGGUCCAUGGGGUCACAAAGAGUCGGACACGACUAAACGAAUAAACAAAACAAUUAAACAUUAAAAGCUUCCCUAAACAGGGCUGCCUUCAGAUGUCUUCUAAAAGUUUGGUAGUUAUUUUUCUCUUUGACAUCUGGUGGGAGGGCGUUCCAGAGGACGGGUGCCACUACCGAGAAGGCCCUCUGCCUGGUUCCCUGUAACUUGGCUUCUCGCAGCGAGGGAACCGCCAGAAGGCCCUCAGCGCUGGACCUCAGUGUCUGGGCAGAACGAUGGAGGUGGAGACGCUCCUUCAGGUAUACUGGACCAAGGCUGUUUAGGGCUUUAAAGGUCAGCACCAACACUUUGAAUUGUGCUCGGAAACGUACUGGGAGCCAGUGUAGGUCUUUCAAGACCGAUGUUAUGUGGUCUCGGUGGCUGCUCCCAGUCACCAGUCUAGCUGCCGCAUUCUGGAUUAGUUGUAGUUUCCGGGUCACCUUCAAAGGUAUCCCCACAUAGAGCUCAUUGCAGUAGUCCAAGCAGGAGAUAACUAGAGCAUGCACCACUCUGGUGAGGCAGUCUGCGGGCAGGUAGGGUCUCAGCCUGCGUACAAGAUGGAGCUGAUAAACAGCUGCCCUGGACACAGAAUUGACCUGCGCCUCCAUGGACAGCUGUGAGUCCAGAAUGACUCCCAAUAAAUAAACAGAAAAACAGACUUGGAAGAGGAAUUUAUAAAGGUUAUAUCAUCAGCCUCAGGAAAACUGCACAUUCUCUUUUGUUUUGGGGUGCAACUUCAGCCAGCCAGCCAGACCCUGUUCUCUAGCAGUAGCAGUCCAUGCAUGAAGACCAAUCUAGCUGUCUUCCAGCUUGGCAAGGCCCUACCUUGCUCAGAGAUUCUGCUAGUAUGGGCACAGGUGGGGAAAUAACCCCACUGAGCUCUGUAACCCUAAGGCUUCAGCAGGUGGGAUCAGCAUACUUCCUCAACCCAUGAAUCAGCCCCAGGGCACUAAGCAGCAUUCUGUCUUCUUGGAAGUGAUCCAUUCUUUCAAAUGAAACUUAUGUGUCAUGGAAGACAUACCAGUAAGGAAGCUAGACAAGGUUGAUUGUUUCUCUUAGACAGGAAGGAAACAAAAACUGCUGACUCUAGCCAGAUAUAACCAAGCCUAGUGCCAUCUAGUGACCAAGUAGCAAAAUUACACUAUCCACCAGGAAUGGUCCACCCAUAAGGCAAGGGGAGGCAACCAUCUUUGAUGGCAAUAUUUACAGGGGCAGCAGAUUCCAAUGUUGAUCUUCCUCCCCCCCCCUUUUCUCCCUGAUGUAGGACUUCCCUCAACCCUUCUUCCAUGGUAGGCACAAUUUUGGGGUCUGACUCAGGUGCCAAAAUAUAUUAGCCUGGCCCUGCUAUGCACACAAUGUGCUUAGGAUUGCUUCCUGAACGGCACACCCAGACAAAAUAAGACUUGUAAUACAGUGGUACCUCUGGUUACGUACUUAAUUCAUUCCGGAGGUCCGUUCUUAACCUGAAACUGUUCUUAACCUGAAGCACCACUUUAGCUAAUGGGGCCUCCCGCUUCCACCACGCCGCCAAAACACGAUUUCUGUUCUCAUCCUGAAGCAAAGUUCUCAACCCGAGGUACUAUUUCUGGGUUAGCAGAGUCUGUAACCUGAAGCGUCUGUAACCUGAGGUACCACUGUAGUUUGUUCACUCUUCUGCAAUGUUAAAGGAUCAACUAAUCUCAUUACCUUUUGGAAAGCAGAGGGGUUUUUUAGUCGCCUUUUAUUUCUUUAACUCUGGUUAGGGGUGGACAAGGAAAACACCAGAAGUGCCUGCAGGAUGAGGCCAACGACCCAUUUAGGCCAGUAUUCUGUUGUCAUAGUGGACAACAAGGUGCUUAUGGGAAGAACAAGGUACUUAUGUGAGAACAACCGCAGGAGGAUUUUGGAUAAAGCCAUAAACCUCUAUUUUCAAGGCUGGAUGUUAAUUACAGCUGAUAUAUCAUCUGAACCUGGAACUAACUUGAAGCUUCCUGUGAGACAAAGAAAAAGGAACAGCCAAAAAUACACCAGUGAUCAUUUUCCCUUAGCAGUUUACUGGCAAAGAUUGAUUAGAUUCCCAACAAGGUGACUUUCAAAAAUAGAGUUGAAAAUAUUAAUCAAAUAAUUGCUCGAUGGUUGUUUGUUUGUUUUUUAAUUGAUAUUUUUAAUUUCUUUUUUUCUAUUUGUUGUUGUUUAGUCGUGUCCGACUCUUCGUGACCCCAUGGACCAGAGCACGCCAGGCAUUCCUGCCUUCCACUGCCUUCUACAGUUUGGUCAAACUCAUGCUGGUAGCUUCGAGAACACAUUUUGCAAAUGUUCAUGUGCAACUAGAUUCUAUGCAUAUUUAUAUGGAAGGAAGCCCCAUUGUGUAUAAUGGGGCUUACUCCUGAGUAAAUGUGUAUAGGAUUGCAGUAAAAAACAAAAACACUAGCAAGCAACAGAUUCUCCAGCAGAAUGAAAAUGAUGGGGCUGGCUGUGGGCCCCUCCAGAUUGGUUGUUUUGUGUGUGGAAGUAUUCUGUGACAUGUCAUUGAUGCAAUACUAGUGAAUUAGUGGUGGAUUUCUACUGGAGCAUCCAUAUCACAUUCCACUUUAUUAGUUGUUCUGCGAUGCGCCCCCAAUGUUACUGCAUUAUUGCCAUCUGGAGGGGGACUCUUGCACAAUAGCAGGGACAAAAAACAGCUCGGGACAUUUGUGGCAUAAAAGGUUACAAGAUUUCAGCAGGAAGCUAUAGGGCAUGUGCUAACUGGAAAUUAAGCAGUAUGCCUGCCCUUUUGCAGACACAAAGAGUAUUGAAAGAGGGAUCAUGUAUAAAUGCGCUGCUACCAUCAUGAGCGGGACGCUAGGGCUUGCCGAUCAGAAGGUCGGUGGUUCGAAUCCCCGCGACAGGGUGAGCUCCCGUUUCUCGGUCCCUGCUCCUGCCAACCCAGCAGUUCGAAAGCACGUCAAAGUGCAAGUAGAUAAAUAGGUACCACUCUGGCGGGAAGGUAAACAGCGUUUCCAUGCACCACUCUGGUUCUCCAGAAGCGGCUCAGUUAUGCUGACCACAUGACCUGGAAGUUGUACGCUGGCUCCCUCGGCCAAUAAAGCAAGAUGAGCGCAGCAACCCCAGAGUCGGUCACGACUGGACCUAAUGGUCAGGGGUCCCUUUUGUGGAAGCAGAGGGCUUCAGUUGUCUGAUGGAACCCUUAAGCUGUGCCUCCAUCUAUGCUCAGCACAUAUAUUUGAAAAUGGACACAAAUAUUACAAAAUGCUAUUAUGUCUCCAAAGGAAACCAAACCUGGGUAAGUGCUGAAACCUGGAACUUUUCACCACUGCCAGAAGCAAAAUGUAAUAGUCUCUUUCUUUCUUUCUUUCUUUCUUUCUUUCUUUCUUUCUUUCUUUCUUUCUUUCUUUCUUCCUCUCUCUCUCUCUGUGUGUGUGUGUGUUUAUGGACAGCGAGUCUUGGUAUGUUAUAUGCAUUCCUCUAUCUGCAAGCAUAAAACGUCUAGAAUAUUAUGCAAAGAGCCUUUGAAUAGCUAUAUCAGAAAUAGAACCCAAGCUCUCCAUAGUCCACUAGCAUACCUCCUAGCAUACUUAUGAGCAACAACUACUAAAAGUGUAAGAUAAAUAUUUUUUGCUGUUUGAUAACCAAGCUCAUUUCUCUUUAUCCCCCGAAAAGCCGUAUCUCUGAACACCUUCUCCAAUCCACUUUUCACAGAGGAUGUUUCCAUAUAUAACACAGAGCAGAGUUGGAACUUUCUCAUCUCCAGGGAACAGAGGCAAUGAAGAUGGAUGAAUAAGCCUUAAUUUUACGCUCUCAAGGGUGGCGGAUAUUUGCAUCUGCGGUAGUUGCCGGGAAAUGCAAAUAAAAUAAUUGGAAAUGGGGUGAGUUGGAUGACCAUGCUCCACAAAAUGAGCACACUGCUGCAGUAGGAAAUGACAACCAUUUUACACAUGCUCUUGACAUUUAUUUAUCUACGGCUUUAUAAGACCCAAGCCCAGCUAUGUCCAAUUUCAACAAAUUGAUGUUAGACUUACACUCCCGGCUAAGAGUGCUGUGUUUCUUUAGUAGUUGGUGGCAAUAUGCAAUCACUGCUGCAAUCUUAUGAAAAGGCGCACACAACAAUAACAGGGCUGCCCUAUGUAAGAUUACCUGUGGAUUUGAGACACAGGCUGUAUGCAGGCGCCUUUACAGUAGGGAUGAAUGUAUCUGUCAACAGCAGUUUCUCCAAUCUUUUUUCCCAAUCUUAAAUUGAGUUUCCUGCCUUUUCGUGUCAGUUUUUUUUUUUGUUUUAUUUAUUUAUUUUUAAAUUUCCCUUUGAAAAUUCACCAGCGUUUUAGUGCAAUUUUCUCUUAAUAUUCCCAUUUUUGUAUGCAGUUUUGCCUCUCUCACACAUUUUUGGUCGUAUCUGCAUUCAUAUGUACACUUUCGCCUGAUAUUUAUGCAUUUUUGUACACAUUACUUAGCUGGAGAACUGUAUUGCAAAAUUCAGAGAAGUGGAAAUUCUGAAGAAUGGCUGUAUUUAAGUUGUGCAUCCUUCUGGAAAGUAUGAAUUUUGUUGUUGUUGUUAAAUUAAAUUUUUAUAUUGCCCUUCAUCUGAGGAUCACAGCGCCAUUUUCAAUGUAAAAACACAAAAAUAAUGUAACAUAGUAACAAAAAAAUAACCUCCACACACACACAGCUAGCUUAAAAGGCCAUAGAAGGAUCAAUGGGCUGACUCAAUAUUUAUACAUUUAGAUAAUUAUUUUGUUUAUUAAAUUUCCAAGCCACCCUUCAUCCUAGGAUCACAGGAGUGUUUACAGUAUAAAACCACAAAAAUACCUAACAUAGUAAAAACAAACAAACAAGAACAAUACCCACCCACAGUUUAAGACUGUCAAUAGAUUGGCUAAUUAGCCAACGGCCUGGGAGAAAUGGGAUGUUUUUGUCUAGUGCCUAAAGAUAUGCCACAAAAACUCCAAACCCCUUGGGAAGAGCAUUCUGCAAGCAGGGAACCACUGUAGGAAAGCCCCAUUCUAGGGUUGCCACCCUCUCAUGGAGGAGGCACACAAAGAAGGGCCUCAGACGAUGAUCUCGGGUUCUAGGCCAGUUCAAAUAGAGAGAGGCCUUCCUUGAGGUAUCACAGUCCUGAGCCGUAUAUGGUUUUAAGGUUUACCUUUAAAUGUGAACUGAAACAAAUUCAUCCCCCAUCCUUGCGAUAAACAAUGGUUCUGCCCCAUCCUUCACAGGAGGCGAAGGAGUGAUGGAGAGCAGAGCUCACUCUACAGCCUCCUCACACCCUAUUCGCAGAUACAGCAAUAGUAGGAUGACGGGGGAUGCGGGUGGCGCUGUGGGUUAAACCACAGAGCCUAGGACUUGCUGAUCAGAAGGUCAGCGGUUCGAAUCCCUGCAAUGGGGUGAGCUCCUGUGGCUCGGUCCCAGCUCCUACCAACCUAGCAGUUCGAAAGUACGUCAAAGUGCAAGUAGAUAAAUGGGGAAUACUUUCUCCAGUGGGAAAGUAAACGGUGUUUCCGUGUGCUGCUCUGGUUCGCCAAAAGCGGCUUAUUCAUGCUGGCCACAUGACCCAGAAGCUGUACGCCGGCUCCCUCGGCCAAUAAAGCGAGAUGAGCACCGCAACCCCAGAGUCGGCAAGGACUGGACCUAAUGGUCAGGGGUCCCUUUACCUUUAGGAUAAUGACAUGCCUAUUGAUAUUCCUAGGGAAUCUAUUCUCAUCAUAAGCCUUGGAUUUAUGUUUUGAAUUUAAUAACAUGUUAUCUCACAGCCUGUAUAAUUGGUGACAUUUCUUAAGAUACGUAUACCUUGUGUAUACCUCCUAAUGUCAGAAUAGACAUCAAGAACACAUUUGAACCAGGAAACAGCAUGCUAGCAGCGUGGAGCCUGGGGAAUGGUGUGUGGCCUGGGAAGAGUCCCAAGGGUAGGGUUGCCAUAUGUCCGGGUUUUCCUGGACAUGUCCUCUUUUUGGGAUCCAGAAGGUUAUUUGUAUGGUUAGGCAGUGUGCUGAUGGUGUGCCCAUGCACUCACAAGCACAUGUGUGCUCCCUUCUCCCCUGGCAAAUGUGUCCUCUUUUUUGCUCUUCGGAAUAUGGCAACCCUACCCCAGGGCCAAAGAGAGGGCUGGGGGCCACAUUUGGCCCCAGGACUGCUGUUCCCCACCUCUGGCUUAGCCAGAACAAGCAAAAAUAAUAAAUGUUUCUGGUCCUGCUGCCACCCAGAGUGAGGCUAUGGUUUGGUAUGGCAUUACAUGCAGACUGGGCCAAUACAAGUCAGCUUCAUAGGAGCAGCCGAGGAGACUUUAAAUGCAAAGACACACAGACAAAAAAAUUUCUCUCUGUUUCAGAAAGCUUAAUACCCCAUUAUUUCCUUGCCCUCCUUCCCACUCUUCCCAGUGUGAAAUGUAGCUUCGCUGAGAUGACACAGUUAAUGGAUAACCUCUGGGCAGGCCUAUUGUAUGUUUUCCCUCUGUGUGCGCUGGAGUUACAAACCAAAUUGCUUUAUGGAUGCAGCAGCGGGCUGUACGCUGCCUUUUCGUGCUGACAGGCUUCUUUGUUGAUGAUUCUCUUUUUAGCAUAGUUUUCUCCAUACAUCACCAAUUGUCUUUUGUUUUUCCACAGUUGGGAAGACUGAGCUAAUCCAUAUAUUACCACAAAACUUCAGUCCCUCGCUGUGUGAUAGAUCCCAAGCAUGCUAUUCUGAUCUAUUGCCUCCCUGCCACAUCUCAAGCUCAUUUGUUCACUACUUACUUUGGUUGCUGCUUACUUAAUAUUGUUCGCUUGCCCUGAAUUGUAAAUGCUGCAUCAUAAUGUCAUAAAGGGAUGCAUAGCAUAGGAGCUGAGAGUAUAAGCCAUGGGCAGAAAAACCACUGAUAUGCAUCUCAGAGUGCUUCCAGAUGCCCUGUUUAAUGAGCAUUCGUUCUGAUUUGCUUGCAGAGAGGUUAGAUGAUGUUGCGCCAGAGCCAUUGUUAUCCCACACUUUCCAGUACAUUUUCCUACCACUUAUUGCAAAACAUCUGAUCAGUUGGGGGAAGUGGGUUUGUUGAGCAAGAUCUCCCAAUUGACACUAAUUGUGCAAACUAAAUUUGCUGGUAUGGGAUUGAAUCCCAUCCCAAAAGAGCAAGAGUCUGGAAGUGCCCUUAGUUAUUAAUGUGCUAAAUGGUUUCCUCGGUGGCUGCAUCUGUAAUAUGUGGGUGGUGGUGAUGCUAAGAGACAACAACAACAACAACAACAACAACAACAAAGCUCACAUCUCCCUCCCUUGGAUCUUUCCUUCAGGCCACCCAGAGAAUUGGGAAAUAGUUGAGUAGUGGGAGAAGUACCAGCACCCUUUUCCCAUGGGUGGUCAUGUGUCCUACUCUACAGAGGAUGGUCCUCCAUUGAAGAAUAGUAAAGACUAAGUCUGGUGUAUGAUUAAUAACACAAAUCAAAAGAAGACCAGGGACUUUGAAGUUACCCAUCAAUGUUGUUGGCAUCUGUCUGUCUCGGGUGCCUUUGGAGGUGAAGUCAAAUGGUUGGAGUUUUAUAGCGCUUGCUGUGGCUGUAGAGACCAAUAUGGGAGAAACAUGUUUCGUUGCAAAUGGAGCAGAUGGAGGCACCCAGUUUGGCUGUUGCAGGUGUACCAUGGCGUUUCUUCUUUCUGUGCUCCUCCCCAUGGUCAUUUUUCCUGUGAGAGGAAUGAUGGUCUCUAGGCGGUCAUGUGAAACUCCACACGGGGGAGUUAAUCAUAGAACUGUAGAAUUGGAAAGGACCACAAGUGUCAUCUAGUCCAACCCCCUGCAAUGGGGGAAUCUCAACCCAUGGUUCCCCAUCCAAUUUGAAAUCAUACUGGACCCUGCUUAGCUUUGCAAAUGUGCUAGCUGUUUUGCCAGCCUUCAUGCCACAUUUGCAGACAUUUUUGCAACACAGAGUUGAUCUGCCAAUGGGCCUGGAAGCCAUCCUUCCAUUUUCCAUUCUGUGGACAUGCUUUAAUAUCUGUUUUUUGCUUUUUUUAAAAAAAAAUUAAUUAAAUCUUCACUCUGAUUUUUGAAGUCUGUUUCUUUAUAAACACAAAAAAUAGGUGAUGUUCUAUCUGAAUUGCAUGUUUAUGGUAUGGUUGCAUUUAAAGUGCAUUGUUUCCAUUCUGUGAGCCACCCAGUGGUCUUUUAGCUGCAGGACAGCCUUGCAGGACAAGAUAAAGGCAGACUUCCGGGUUAGCGCCAUCGCCGAAUGGCGGACUCCCUCCGAGCUCCGGAGGGAGUCUGCUCGGCAGGGGCUGGGUCCUACCGCGCCGGCGACGCGGGGACCCUUAAAAACCACGGGCACGGAGUCCGUGGACAUGGGUGACUCGGCUUGCACCAUUAGCGCCCUCCCGACUCGUGAAGGAGCCUUUUAAAGGCUUCGGAUCGGGUGCCGGGAGUGGCGUGGUGCUUUGAGUCCACUGCUUUCCUGCCGAGCGCAGCCGCAUGCCAUUCGACGGAGAGCGCUGACUUCUUCUAUUGAAAAUUUGGACUAGUAACAACACCCCGUGAGUAAUUGGGAAACCGGGUUCAAAAUUUUGGAUUUGGCACGAGCGGGGCGAUUUAAAAGGAAGUCAAUCCCCCUAUUGUAAGCAUUCCAAAACAAGGACUGGGUAACCAAGGUCCAAAGGGAAGUAUGUCUCUGAUAAAAAUCAUUAAUUUCACGAUGGGAAAUUAUAAGAAAUGUGCUGGAGGAGAAGAGUGGAGGGUGAGAAGAAAAUGCAACCCCCCCCCCUGGGAACCGGGGCGAUUCGUGGAGCCUGGUGAAGAGAGACGGAGACUUUGACAGCUGUCAAAGUGGCUGUCAAAGCUGGAGAAUAUAAAGAGGACUUUGUUAUGAGGACCUUGCUGGUUAAUUUUGUUACAAUUUGCUAUAAUAUGGAUAUAAACUGUUGGAAAAUAAGUAACAAUUUGACUUUUGGAUUAGAGGAUACAAAGUUAUUACAAUCCCCCUAGAGGGGUUUCGGGAUACUACAAGAACGGUCGUAAGUGGAAAAAUACCCUGGGAUUCGCACAGGAUGUGUUAUCUUCUGGGAAAGCUGCAAAACUGAAAGAGUAUUUUGUCUACAGAGGAAGACAAUGGAACUUUUUAUUGAAGAAAGGAAGGGACUGGACGUAAGUUUUUGUUCCUGAAUAACAAACCUCUGCAGAGACACUAGAUUUCUGAAUUAGAAAGUUUUAGCAGCUGAACAGGACAAGAAACCUGAGAAAGUGAGGAAUAAGAAGAAUAAAGGACUGAUUACGACACGGAAAGAACAACGGGAGGAGUGGUAAAGAUCAAGGAAAUUAAAGGCUUUUGUUAGAUUGGACAAUUGAAGUCAAAUAUUAUUUAAAUUAAUAAACUAAAAGAAAACCGGCAAGAUGGAAUCGGGGAGAAAUCUGGUCAUGAAAUGAGACUUCCAAGCUGAUAAUGUAUAGACUGAUGGACAUGGGGAAUUCAAACCGGGGAAGGGGGGGGGAGAUUUGAAAUCCAAAGGCUGUGUAACCAUUUUUUGAAUUUUUCUAUAUCUUUUAUUUUCUAUUUCUUUACAUAACUUACGCAUGUUAUUUUACUUUGAUCGGACGUGUUUAAAAAAAAAAGGGAAUUUGUGGAAGGAACUGGGGUGGAUCUUGGGGAAAAUCUUUUUUCUUUUUCUGUUAAUGAUGUGGGACGGUGGUAAGAUUUGUACAAUUCAAUCUGGAUAGUGGGUUAAACAAAUUAAGUUUUAAAUUGGGAGUGAGAGCUUGUAGAACCAAAUUAAGGAAAGGGGA